CAAUAGCGUAUAUUAAAGUUGUUGCAGUUAAAAAGCUCGUAGUUGGAUUUCUGGUCGGAAGCUCCUGUCCUCUGAUGAGCGUACAAGUGCGUCCUACCAUCCUUCUGUUAACCUUUAAGGCUUUCGCGGCUUUCUAGGGGCUCAGAUAUUUUACCUUGAGAAAAUUAGAGUGUUUCAGGCAGGCUAGCGCCGGAAUACAUUAGCAUGGAAUAAUGGAAUAGGACUUUUGCCUCUUCUGUUGGUCAUGAGGCUCGAGUAAUGAUUAAUAGGGAUAGUUGGGGGCAUUAGUACUUAACUGUCAGAGGUGAAAUUCUCGGAUUUGUUAAAGACUAACUUAUGCGAAAGCAUUUGCCAAGGAUGUUUUCAUUGA
Molecule: ribosomal RNA, 370 nt
Filed under: uncultured eukaryote
Lineage: Eukaryota
Description: partial 18S ribosomal RNA
Rfam family: Eukaryotic small subunit ribosomal RNA
Source: RNAcentral